CUGACGGAGCAACGCCGCGUGAGUGAUGAAGGUUUUCGGAUCGUAAAACUCUGUUGUCAGGGAAGAACAAGUACCGGAGUAACUGCCGGUACCUUGACGGUACCUGACCAGAAAGCCACGGCUAACUACGUGCCAGCAGCCGCGGUAAUACGUAGGUGGCAAGCGUUGUCCGGAAUUAUUGGGCGUAAAGCGCGCGCAGGCGGUUCCUUAAGUCUGAUGUGAAAGCCCCCGGCUCAACCGGGGAGGGUCAUUGGAAACUGGGGAACUUGAGUGCAGAAGAGAAGAGUGGAAUUCCACGUGUAGCGGUGAAAUGCGUAGAGAUGUGGAGGAACACCAGUGGCGAAGGCGACUCUUUGGUCUGUAACUGACGCUGAGGCGCGAAAGCGUGGGGAGCAAACAGGAUUAGAUACCCUGGUAGUCCACGCCGUAAACGAUGAGUGCUAAGUGUUAGAGGGUUUCCGCCCUUUAGUGCUGCAGCAAACGCAUUAAGCA
RNAcentral lists this ribosomal RNA (492 nucleotides) under Cytobacillus firmus. RNAcentral describes it as "bacterial SSU rRNA". It matches the Rfam family "Bacterial small subunit ribosomal RNA", at positions 383 to 866 of the family's 1533-position model. The record is from RNAcentral. Lineage: Bacteria; Bacillati; Bacillota; Bacilli; Caryophanales; Bacillaceae.